CGUAACGCGUAUAGAAUCUGCCUUAUACUGAGGAAUAGCCCAGAGAAAUUUGGAUUAAUGCCUCAUAGUCUUUUACUGCCGCAUGGUAGUAUUUGUAAAGCUUCGGCGGUAUAAGAUGAGUAUGCGUUCUAUUAGCUAGUUGGUGAGGUAACUGCUCACCAAGGCUACGAUAGAUAGGGGUUCUGAGAGGAUGAUCCCCCACACUGGUACUGAGACACGGACCAGACUCCUACGGGAGGCAGCAGUGAGGAAUAUUGGUCAAUGGGCGCAAGCCUGAACCAGCCAUCCCGCGUGAAGGACGACGGCGCUACGCGUUGUAAACUUCUUUUAUAUACCAAGAAAAUUAGUCACGUGUGAUUAACUGACGGUAGUAUAUGAAUAAGCACCGGCUAACUCCGUGCCAGCAGCCGCGGUAAUACGGAGGGUGCAAGCGUUAUCCGGAUUCAUUGGGUUUAAAGGGUACGUAGGCGGUAUUAUAAGUCAGUGGUGAAAUCCUGCAGCUCAACUGUAGAACUGCCAUUGAAACUGUAGUACUUGAAUAAACUUGAGGUAGGCGGAAUAUGUAGUGUAGCGGUGAAAUGCUUAGAUAUUACAUAGAACACCGAUUGCGAAGGCAGCUUACUAAGGUUUUAUUGACGCUGAUGUACGAAAGCGUGGGGAGCGAACAGGAUUAGAUACCCUGGUAGUCCACGCCGUAAACGAUGAUCACUAGUUGUUGGCGAUACACAGUCAGUGACUAAGCGAAAGCAUUAAGUGAUCCACCUGGGGAGUACGAUCGCAAGAUUGAAACUCAAAGGAAUUGACGGGGGCCCGCACAAGCGGAGGAACAUGUGGUUUAAUUCGAUGAUACGCGAGGAACCUUACCUGGACUUUAAAUGUAGAUUGCAUAGAGUGGAGACAUUCUUUUCUUCGGACUAUCUACAAGGUGCUGCAUGGUUGUCGUCAGCUCGUGCCGUGAGGUGUCGGGUUAAGUCCCAUAACGAGCGCAACCCCUAUCGUUAGUUGCUAACAGGUUAAGCUGAGGACUCUAGCGAGACUGCCACCGUAAGGUGUGAGGAAGGUGGGGAUGACGUCAAAUCAGCACGGCCCUUAUGUCCAGGGCUACACACGUGUUACAAUGGUCGGUACAAAGGGCAGCUACUAGGUGACUAGAUGCUAAUCCUUAAAGCCGGUCUCAGUUCGGAUCGAAGUCUGCAACUCGACUUCGUGAAGCUGGAUUCGCUAGUAAUCGCAUAUCAGCCAUGAUGCGGUGAAUACGUUCCCGGGCCUUGUACACACCGCCCGUCAAACCAUGGAAGUUGGGGGUGCCUGAAGUCUGUAUCCGUAAGGAGCGGCCUAGGGUAAAACUGGUAACUAGGGCU
Molecule: ribosomal RNA, 1361 nt
Filed under: uncultured Bacteroidota bacterium
Lineage: Bacteria; Pseudomonadati; Bacteroidota
Description: bacterial SSU rRNA
Rfam family: Bacterial small subunit ribosomal RNA
Source: RNAcentral